UAAAGGAAAGUCUCCAUAGUAACCAGGC
RNAcentral lists this non-coding RNA (28 nucleotides) under Mus musculus (house mouse). The record is from RNAcentral. Lineage: Eukaryota; Metazoa; Chordata; Mammalia; Rodentia; Muridae.